Molecule: long non-coding RNA, 326 nt
Filed under: Mytilus galloprovincialis (Mediterranean mussel)
Lineage: Eukaryota; Metazoa; Mollusca; Bivalvia; Mytilida; Mytilidae
Source: RNAcentral
CCGGGUCGAACCCGAUACCGAUACCAAAAGUAUAUUCACCUGUUACCUAUUACCUUAUCUGUACGUUCCGCAUCUGACAGGCGCACCACCACACGGUAUAUUUAGGAUUUUGCUAUAUACACGGGUCAUAAUCACAGGGUUGACACUACUAAAUUCAAUCAUUGUCAAAUUGUUCCCUAUUGUAGUAUUUUAAUCAGUAAGACUUUCUAAGAUAACAAUACGAAUACUAAAAAUCUGGACUUAAAAUAAGGCGUAUAGGUACAGUUUUCAAUUUGUUAGCGGGCAUGACGUAAAACAGCGAAUAAAAGAUUUAAAAUCCAUUCCAG